This 253-nucleotide ribosomal RNA is filed under the name uncultured bacterium. Its description in RNAcentral is "partial 16S ribosomal RNA". It matches the Rfam family "Bacterial small subunit ribosomal RNA", at positions 524 to 776 of the family's 1533-position model. The record is from RNAcentral.
UACGUAGGGGGCAAGCGUUGUCCGGAUUUAUUGGGCGUAAAGAGCGCGUAGGCGGUUUGGUAGGUCCGCUGUGAAAACUCGAGGCUCAACCUCGAGACGCCGGUGGAAACCAUCAGACUAGAGUCCGGAAGAGGAGAGUGGAAUUCCUGGUGUAGCGGUGAAAUGCGCAGAUAUCAGGAAGAACACCCGUGGCUAAGGCGGCUCUCUAGUACGGUACUGACGCUGAGGCGCGAAAGCGUGGGGAGCGAACAGG